AAUGCUGUCAGGAGCAACACGCCACCCUUCAGUCCUGCAUCUUCUGUGGUCUCAGAUACUGCACACAACAGACGGAUCAGCAGCUCACUCUCGGGAACAGGGCUGCCAAUCCCCUAGAAUAUACAAGCAAGUCCGGGCGAUGCUGGACCCUUUCCCUUCUCAGCUGAUCACUUGUUUCCAAGGCCCUUAUUUCCUGGGGCACAUGGCCUAUGACAUUCUCCCGAUGCCAGUUGCCGUGUCAGCCACGUUCUCUGACGGAAACAGUAGAAACGAACUGGGAUCAUGUCAGCAGAUGGAAGAAGGGAGGAAGGGGGAGAGGAGAUCAUUAUUGCCAGGUGAUACAGAAGAGGGCUGAGCCGCCAGCCUUGAGAAGGGAGAAUCAUGCAGCCCUGGACUCUCGGGGUGAUUCAGGGAAAGGUGACUCAGCCCAAACACCUUCAGUCCCAGAGACAAAUUCCUGGAAGACUGGGGCAAGAGCCAACCUGAACAAGAAUGGAGGUGGAAAGGGUGGGAAGGAGGGAAGCUGUGAGCUACCUGAAGUGGGGCAGGGGGCCCCCUAGAGGAUGGGAUGCUAUGAAAGUGAAAACAUGGCUACACACCCUGCCUCAUUUAUCUAUUACCAGGCCCCCCAAAAUUGGUGUCUUAAAACCAUUAUCAUCUGUGUCAUGAGUCUGUGGGGCGAGUUGGGUGGUCCUUCUGCCUCCCCUAGUCUAGCUGUGUCUGCAGUCACCGGGGACUGGCCCGGGCUGGCCAGUCUUCCAGGCUCAUGUCCAGGCCGCGGUGGGUGUCUGCUAUCAGCUGAGACUGUCAGUCAGAGCAUCUCCACCUCCCCUCAUAGGACCUCCUCAUGCACCACGGGCAUCUCAGCAUAGAGUGACCUCCCCACGCACCACGGGCAUCUCAGCAUAGAGUGACCUCCCCACGCACCACGGGCAUCUCAGCAUGGAGCGACCUCAGCAUGGAGCGACCUCCCGCGCACCACGGGCAUCUCAGCAUAGAGCGACCUCCCCACGCACCACGGGCAUCUCAGCAUAGAGCGACCUCCCCACGCACCACGGGCAUCUCAGCAUAGAGUGACCUCCCCACGCACCACGGGCAUCUCAGCAUGGAGCGACCUCCCCACGCACCACGGGCAUCUCAGCAUAGAGUGACCUCCCCACGCACCACGGGCAUCUCAGCAUGGAGCGACCUCCCCGUGCACCACGGGCAUCUCAGCAUGGAGCUGGAACAGAAGACAGCACAUUCGAUGGUGCAAGUGGAAGCUGCAUACAGGUCAAGAGCCAGCCUGGGAGGUCCCCAUGCCCCUCUGCCUCAUCCUGUUGACCACAGCUAAUCAUGGACUCGCCCAAAUUUCACAGGAGAGGGAACAGCCUCCACUUCUAGGUGGGAGUGGCCUAGAGGCCAUGCCUUUAACCAGCACUCUCCUCUUCCUCCUUUCUAUUCCUCCCUCUCCAUUCUCUCUUCUGCUCUCUCUUGUGCCACCCGCUGUCCACACUUGGCCCCGAGCAAGGGCAAGCAGAUAAAGACCCCUGAGGUCAGUGAUGAGAGGACUCACGCAUAUCGAGGACCUCUUUGGGGAAGGAGGACCCAAAGCUACAAAAUCCUAGGAAUGGCAGGAGGCACGGGGAGAGGCAAGGGAGUGGAGAGUCCUGGCAAGCCCCCAGCACACACCCUGGGAUUAGGGAGGCUCCCAGCCAGCAAGAGGAAGCUUGACCCAGGGGGAGCUGCUCCCCCAGCCCCAGCAGCCUCGCUGAGGCAGAGCCAAGAGGCAUGUGGGCAUGCCAGGAAGUCCCCCUCACUUGAGGGCUCAGCUCCUGCAGGCUCGGAGCCUGCUGGGGGCAAGGGCCAGGUCCUUGGGCCCUGCCUUCACGUGACUAAUUUCCUGGAGUCCUGCCAAGUACAGUCUGGGUCCAGGGCCUCUGUUAACCUUUUCUCACUUGGUUACACCUCACUGGGCCCAAAGGUGUUGCAUUUGCCCUUUGACUCCCAGAGACAUGCACCACAAGGGCUGUGGACCAAUGUCCUUUCCUCUAACCCCUCUCCGCUGCCUCCUGACUGCAAAACACCCAUUUCUCCCUUGGGAGGGUGGGGACUCUGGCUGAUGGCACAGCCCCACAUUCAGGGCAAAGGACAGUUGGGGAGGAUUGAGCUGUCCGCCCCCUGCCUCGUCCCCCAGGUCUCCCACCAGACAGUGACCAACAACUGCUAAAUCCCUGAGGCGCCCCUCCUCCACUCCUCCUCAACUGUCUCAUAGAUUUUGGCAGCUGCCUCUCUCUCUCUGCCUCCACCUAGUACCCUCUCCCUCCAUCCCUCACCCCUUCCUAUCUUCUUCUCUCCCUCCUCCCGCAAGGUCUCCCUGGGCACCUUCCAGGCCCAGGUGCUGCACCCCUAGAAAUGACCAGGGCUCAGUCCCUGAGCUGACGUCACCCCUCCCAAUCCUGCAGGCCAGGGGAGAGACAGAGCCAGCUGGCAAAGCCCUCAGCAAGUGGCAGCAAGACCCCCAGAAGACACUGCCAAGUGCUGGAAGAUGGUGGGCCUUUCCAUCUGGAGAAAAGCUACGAUAAAUAAAAAUAAAUAUUACUCAUCAAUAAAAAGAAAUGAGCUAUCAAGCCACAAAAAGACAUGGAGCAACCUCAAAUGCAUAUUGCUAAUCUAAUUGGAAGAAGCCAGUCUGAAAAGGCUGCAUACUGUACAAUUCCAACUCUAUGAUAUUCUGCAAAAGGCAAAACUAUAGAAACAGUAAGAUCAGUGGUUGCUGUGGGGGUUCGGGAUGAACAGGUGGAGCACAGAGGAGUUUUAGGGCAGAGACACUAUUCUGUAGGAUCCUGUAAUGGUGGAUACCUCGCAUUAUUUCUGCAAACCCAUAGGAUGUACAACACCACUAGUGAACUCUAAUGUAAAUUAUGGACUUUAGUUCAUAAUAGUGUGUCAAUACUUGUUAAUCAGUGGUAACAAACGUACUAUCCUCAUGCAAGAUGUCAAUGGGGAAACUGGUGGGGAGGUGGGGGUGGAGGUCGCGAGGUCACUGCAAACUCUGUUCUUUCUGUGCGAUUCUGUAAAUGUAAACCUGCUCUAAAACAGAAAGUCUAUUUUUUAAAAUGGUACACAAAAUAAUAACAACGGGGCAUUUCUUGAGAUCUCUAGGGAACAUGUCCCCCUCUUGCCCAUGCAUUUCAUGUUGGAUCCAGAAUGCAGCAGCAGCACUUUUCACGGUUGCCAAAAACUGUGGCAAGCUCAAAUGUCCAUGCACUGAUGAAAGGAAUCGCAAGAUGUGGAAUAUCCAAUAAUGGAAUGUUAUUCAGCCAUAAAAAGAAAUGCAGUAUUGAUCCACUAAAAACAUGGAUGAACUUUGAAAACAUGAUGCUAUGUGAAAGCAGCCAAUCACAAAAGGUCA
RNAcentral lists this long non-coding RNA (3394 nucleotides) under Pan troglodytes (chimpanzee). RNAcentral describes it as "lincRNA". The record is from RNAcentral. Lineage: Eukaryota; Metazoa; Chordata; Mammalia; Primates; Hominidae.